Mus musculus (house mouse) is the source of this 1945-nucleotide long non-coding RNA. RefSeq annotates it as predicted gene 11538. The transcript has 2 exons. The record is from RefSeq and is marked predicted. Lineage: Eukaryota; Metazoa; Chordata; Mammalia; Rodentia; Muridae.
AAUCAGAGGCGGGUCACCCUGCUGCUCGGUCCUCACUACCCUUGUUGCAGCCCGGAAGGUCCCCCUGCCCGCAGAGCGACCACCAAACCUCGCAUGUGCUCGAUCUUUGUCUCAGGACGAGGGUGCAGAAGCUCGGGCAACGGGGCGUCUCCCGUCUCCCGCAGAGGAACCUCGGCCACUGCAGCCGGGGAACCCGGGCGAAGUGCGUCUUUCCCAGAGAUCUGCUGAGAGCCGAGGCCCGUGACUGGAAUUCCCGAUCCUGGAAGCCUGAGGAGAGCGGAUGUCCACGGCGGGAUGUGGGAGUGUUUGCUGGCUGUAGAAUGCCGGGUAGAAGGUGGCCCCGGGCGAGCUGCGGUCAGGGAGAGCCCGGCUAGCCUGGGGGCCUGAGGUGAGAAGAAUGGGAUUCUGCCCGGGUGGGAUCCGGCCCAGGAGUCUCUUCCAGGAGCACCUCCACAAACCCCGGGAGGAAGGUUAAGGAGACUCCAGAUCUGGUCAACUCCUGCAAAGUUUCCGGCCCUUCCAUUUAUGGCCGGAGAAAAUUGCCAGGAGGCAGAUUCACAGUGGCAAAAGGGAAGUGGCCGAGUGAAUUAUCAGGAUAAUGUCAUGGAUGCUCUGUCUCCCAGUUCCUACCGAAGACUGUUUGGAAUAAAGAACUGGGUAUUUUCAUCUUCUGCCCUCCAGGCCCAGGAAAGAAUUCAGCCAUUCCCUCUCCCUUUGUCUUGACCUUGGGAGUUGGGGAGGUGGGGAGACUCUCGGGUCAAGUUCACUUUUCGUCCUUUAUCUUUUCGAAGAAAUUAGGGCAGUAGUUUGAUUCCAAGAGGGGGUAGCUCCUAAUUGUGACAUUGUGUUGGAGGAGGGGGAAGCGUUCAAGAAAGCUUUUUAAUUUCAAUUUGUUGCUCCGUUCUCAACCACCGGCGUCGCGUGCUGUGAAGGAGACACAAUUUGAGGAGAAACAAAGUGGUUCAAUUGGGGGAAAAACAUUUAAAAGUGUCUUAAACUAGGCACUCGCCUGGUUCUGUGUUUGUUGGGUGCUGCAUUUUGAUCAAAGUUAAGCGUUUACAGUAUUGGGCACAAAUAUUUCUGCGGAAACUGACUUAGAGGGAAAAGGGGACCAAAAUGCUUCCCCUGAAGGUUCGGAUUACACACAAUGAAGUAAAUUCCACAACGUUCUUAAUGGGGGAGAGUCAAAAUACAGAAAUAAAAAUAAAGACAUAUUCUCUAGUUCCCAUCCACCCACCAUCACACAAAUAGAAAACCGGGAUUGGAAAAUUCUUACAAAACAUCCCCGCGUUCCUUCUGUCUGCCAGUGAUUUAAAUUUGGAGCCUCUAUUACUAGCUAGUUUUUGAUCUCCAGUGCCUGGGUUCUGACUCUCAGUGCUGUGCAUCCAAGCUUGCUUUAAAACGUGCCUUUCUUGGGCCAUAAGCGGCAUCCCAGCAUCCCAGGUGAUUGCAGUUUCUAAUUAGUACUUUUAAAAUUUGUGAUAUUAAGAAAAGAGUUGUCAGGUUUUAAGGAAUCCAUUUCUCUAGUGGUCAUUUAGGUCCAGCCUGUUCUCCAAAACUGCCUUUUCUUCCUCUUGAUUGACAGAGCAACAUAUUCGUACAGUCAAGUAUUUUCUGAUAUUUGACUUUACUUCUACAAAGUACUUCCAAUACAUAACAAUACUUUCCAAAGUAUUAAAAUACUACAAAGAAAACAAAGUCCAUACCAUAAGCUGCCAUCUCACAAGCUGCCAUCCCAUAAACUUCCAUCGCAGAACCCGCCAUCAAAGUUUUCAAAGGUUUAAUCUCUGAUGUGUUUUGUUGCUUGUUCUUUAUUCUGUGUACAAGUGUAUUUCAAAAUCGAUUUUUUUAAAUAAUUGUGUGUAUGUGUAUGUUGAGUUUUAAAUUCAGUUUUAAAUUAGGAACGUUUCCCAGUGUCACUAAACAUGUUUCAAAAUCCUGGCUC